CUCUGCCCUCUGAUAUCUUCAAGUCUAGGAAACUAAUAGCUUUCAUGGAAGAGUAGGCAAGUAAGACAAUGAAGUGGCUGACAUCAGGAGAAAACGGCCUGCUUUGCUCCCACAGCCAGAUGCUCUGGUCCAACUUCCUCCAGGCAAGAGGGUACCUAAUGCAAUCACCCUGCCUGAAUUUGUUCUUUUAUUCAUUCUUGUUGCCAUCAACCUCCUCUUGCCAGGAAAGAUAUGGCCUCAGGCAUAUGCACCAGGCAGAAAUUGGAGAAUGUUUGUAAUUCAACAUGGUGAGAGAUAUGGAGAACAUACUCUGGGGACCAGAGCAGUGCAUCUUGAAAGGCGUUCAUCAAAGAAAGAACAUACUUUCUUGAUGGAAUGUAUGUUUCAUGGGAGAGGAGAAAGGGAAGAAGAAGCAAGUUUUCCGUGUGAAAAGAACAUAAGCAUCUCCUUCGCUCUGAACUUCACUGCUCUUGACCUCAGCAAUUCUUUUCUGCCUCUUCAUUCCACACAAUGCAAAAGACAUAACCUGAAUGAGAACAGGACAGAAAAAGGUACUGAAAUCCACUAAAGAAAAGGCUCAAUAGUUAAUCAGCUCUUCUCUGGCAUCCUUCCCUCAACCAUACAAUAUAAACAAAUUAAGGAGUUCUUCAAUUUUUGUGACCAUAAGCAGAGUGGUGAAUUAAGGUUCCUAAAUGCUAGCACUGGAUAAAUGAAUUCAUUAUUGAGAAAGUUCUGGAUGAGUCAGUAGCCAAGGAUUUAAUAACUCCACUGAAGAUGCCUGUUUGUGUAUAUUCUAGGGUAGAGUUGGAAGAGAAAUAUUGCUAUGAAGGAGGCACUAAACAUGUCUGCUUUUAUUAAAUAUUGCAUUUCAAACUAAAGAUUUACUAUGCUUUUCUAAAAGAACUCAAAAUUCUCCAAGAUAUGCAACGUGGUUCUCAAAAGCUGCAUCAGCAUGUAGGUGGUUACAACUACCUAAUGAGUUUUGACGGAUUAAAUAUCCACCUGGAAUAGAAUCAGGAUGCACUCAUAAGAAAGCCUUCGGGGUCACUGUCCACCAUGGAAACCCUCUGUACAGACAGCUGAGAGUCUCCAAAAUGCCACUCUGCACAACUCCUGAGGGACUCUCUAUAGGAAGUCCACCUUUAAUAUUUUCAUUUGUGCCCUCAAUACAUUUCCAGCAUUCUUAAUUCAUAUGCAGAAUUUUCUUUAAAUUGGAUCCACUUUGCAAAUCCUUCUUUUCCCUGCAAAGCUUUAUCUAAACCUCAGUGCCUGAGUGCCGGCUACUCCCAGCAGCGUAGAAGCUCAGAGUCAGAAAGCACUGAGUGCUUCUGGACUGCAGCAAGCCUUUCCAUUUGCCGGUUUAAUCCUUCAGACUUCCCGGUUUCCCAUUUGGUCCUUCACAUCAUCUUGGGCUAAUCCGUCAAGCAUUUUAGACAGCGCAGCCAAUCUCCAAUUGCUGAGGACUUUGCCACAAGCACCAUGUCUGUUAAUAAGAUUUUCAUUUGGAAAGAUGCCAGGGCGUCCAUGUUUUCUCUCACAUAUAAAUACUAAGAUUUAAUAGCUGCAGGUUUUGUUUAAUGUUAACGUCAACUAUUUAAAAGAGAAAAAAAAGAAAGAAGGUUCUCAAAUGCCUGGCCCACAGUGAAAUACCCCACUGACAGCUAUUUGCAAGGGUAAUGUUGUGGAAAACAACAUCCAUCUUGGAAACAGUUUCAUUAGCCCCAUCUAGCUGACCUCCCCACAUAAUGUUGUCAAAUGUGACGGGCAUCAGAUUAUUGGGAAUAUGGAGAUCAAUAAAUAUGCAACACCGGCGCUUAGAAUGCUUCUGGCACCGGAGUCAUACAAAUGCCAUCUAA
This is a non-coding RNA of Ictidomys tridecemlineatus (thirteen-lined ground squirrel), 1856 nucleotides long. NCBI's taxonomy places the organism in Eukaryota, Metazoa, Chordata, Mammalia, Rodentia, Sciuridae. The record is from RefSeq and is a predicted model, not a curated record.